GAUGAAGAACGUAGCGAAAUGCGAUACGUAAUGUGAAUUGCAGAAUUCAGUGAAUCAUCGAGUCUUUGAACGCACAUUGCGCCCUCUGGUAUUCCGGGGGGCAUGCCUGUCCGAGCGUCAUUUGCAACCCUCAAGCCCGGCUUGUGUGAUGGGUGCCGUCCCCUACGGGACGCGCCCCGAAGGCAAUGGCGGCGUCGCGGUUAUCCGAUCAGCCAAAGUGUAUGGGGCUUUGUCACUCACUUUACGGCCCGGACCGGCGCCAGUCCGAAUCAAUCUUUUUUCUAAAGUUGACCUCGGAUCAGGUAGGGAUACCCGCUGAACUUAAGCAUAUCAAUAAGCGGAGGA
This 345-nucleotide unclassified non-coding RNA is filed under the name soil metagenome. RNAcentral describes it as "partial contains 5.8S ribosomal RNA, internal transcribed spacer 2, and large subunit ribosomal RNA". The stretch from base 1 to 120 matches the Rfam family "5.8S ribosomal RNA", at positions 35 to 154 of the family's 154-position model. The record is from RNAcentral.